RNAcentral lists this ribosomal RNA (253 nucleotides) under uncultured bacterium. Its description in RNAcentral is "partial 16S ribosomal RNA". It matches the Rfam family "Bacterial small subunit ribosomal RNA", at positions 524 to 776 of the family's 1533-position model. The record is from RNAcentral.
UACGAAGGGGGCUAGCGUUGUUCGGAAUCACUGGGCGUAAAGCGCACGUAGGCGGAUCUUUAAGUCAGGGGUGAAAUCCCAAGGCUCAACCUCGGAACUGCCUUUGAUACUGGGGAUCUCGAGUCCGGGAGAGGUGAGUGGAACUGCGAGUGUAGAGGUGAAAUUCGUAGAUAUUCGCAAGAACACCAGUGGCGAAGGCGGCUCACUGGCCCGGAACUGACGCUGAGGUGCGAAAGCGUGGGGAGCAAACAGG